UCCUAUGAUGAAUAAGAGCUAUAACGCUCGACAUUUAACCCAGCUCGUCGAAAGGCCAAAAAGGCCCUCGUGAGAUAAAAUCCAAAGCUGAUUG
This is a small nucleolar RNA of Trichophyton interdigitale MR816, 94 nucleotides long. It matches the Rfam family "A. fumigatus snoRNA Afu_304". Lineage: Eukaryota; Fungi; Ascomycota; Eurotiomycetes; Onygenales; Arthrodermataceae. The record is from Rfam.